AUAUAUUAUUUUUCAUUUCCCUCCUAUAGGGCCCGAGAGGACAAAUACCGCAGGUCGGAAUUCAGCCUUGGCAACUCAGCAUCCGAUCUUGGUCUAUAGCAAAUUAUUUCUAGCACUUGGAAGUUUUUGUUAACUGCAACUUCAAUUUCAACAACAUCAAUUAUUACUUUGGAUUUUUAAAAUGGAUUCUGUUAAUGGCGAAAAACAUGCCAGACAAGUGAAAAUGUUGAAAUUGUUGAAGAAAUUAUAAACUUGUAUCGAAAAAUCCAUGGAUUAACUGAACAAAAGUUUCAACUAGUACCAUUACUUGCUCAUGGAGUUUUGAAAAAUUGGUUGUUGCAGAAAUGUAAUGUAACCACGAUCAACCAAAACAUGAAUGAAACAUUCAAACGAGUUUGGGAUGUAAUAUCGGACAAAUAUUCCACUCAUCAUAUCUAAUUUUAUAUUCAUUUUGUUUAUUUUUUAGGGUCUUAUUACGCACAGUAAUAAAAUAAAAAAUUACUUAGUGCUAGUGAAAAAGAUCACCGAGAAAUUGCUGCAAAACAAAUAGAAAUUGACAUUGAAAUAUCUACAUUGAAAGAGAAGGUAAAAACCCUUUCAUUGACAUUGGACUCUCCGGCGAAGAAAAAUAUUUGCGAGUAUUUUGAAGGAGAAGAAUUUGAAAUGGAAGCUGCUCCUUUCAGAUGUUUCGUUGAUGGAUGUUUAAAAACUUAAGCUAUAAGAAAAUGCUUGUUGCGGCAUCAACGAAUGUGUCAUUCACCACCUUUUACAAAAGGGAUGUCAACGGAUGGUCCAAAUUCAGUGGCGGAUUCACCACAAUUUCAACAAGUACAAAGCAGGCCGGUUGUGUACACACAAUUCCACUUGUGCAGCCUUCUAUGGCUUUCAAACGGCCUGCUUUGAAUGCUGAGGUGGUGAAACCUAAUAAAACUGUUUGCCUCCAACAACCUUUAAGCUCUGUUUCACCAAAUGUUCAAAACUCCAGUGGAUUUUCAAGUGACGCUAACUAUAGAGCAAACUUGGCCCACUUUGAGAAGUUUGGCGUAGAUCGUCCAUAUUCAAGAAAUCCAACUUUACUCUGUGACUGUCCAGGUAAGAUUUUCUUUUUUUUUUUUUUUUUUAAAUAACACAACAUUCGUUUAUUUGCAAUCACCAUGUUUUUGUUUCAACGGCGUUUUUUACACUCUCCAUCAGUAAAAGAUGAAGUUAUAUAAUUCGUGAAUAAAGUGCACUGUUCGCUUUUGAGUUCUGACUUACUGCUCUCGCUAGCAGACAAAAAACAAAUGAAAGGAAAACGAAAAAAGGUUUCAACAAUGCCAGACUUGGAAAAAACGUUGCAUGUAUUUACAGUCGUGUGGUCUCUUUUGAAAGGAGUAAAGUUAUGUAUGUAACAAAAAGAAAUAAAAUUCAGUUUAAGGUUACAUAA
This is a long non-coding RNA of Daphnia magna, 1426 nucleotides long. RefSeq lists it as uncharacterized. Lineage: Eukaryota; Metazoa; Arthropoda; Branchiopoda; Diplostraca; Daphniidae. The transcript has 2 exons. The record is from RefSeq and is a predicted model, not a curated record.